GUACUUGCUUUGGCAGCACAUGUACUAAAACUGGAAUUAUGCGGAGAUUAGCAUGGUCCCUCUGCAAGAAUGAAACUCAAAAUUUGUGAAGCAUUCCAUUUUUUU
Sciurus carolinensis (gray squirrel) is the source of this 105-nucleotide small nuclear RNA. Lineage: Eukaryota; Metazoa; Chordata; Mammalia; Rodentia; Sciuridae. The record is from RefSeq and is a predicted model, not a curated record.